GAUGAACGCUGGCGGCGUGCCUAAUACAUGCAAGUCGAGCGAACGGACGAGAAGCUUGCUUCUCUGAUGUUAGCGGCGGACGGGUGAGUAACACGUGGAUAACCUACCUAUAAGACUGGGAUAACUUCGGGAAACCGUAGCUAAUACCGGAUAAUAUUUUGAACCGCAUGGUUCAAAAGUGAAAGACGGUCUUGCUGUCACUUAUAGAUGGAUCCGCGCUGCAUUAGCUAGUUGGUAAGGUAACGGCUUACCAAGGCAACGAUGCAUAGCCGACCUGAGAGGGUGAUCGGCCACACUGGAACUGAGACACGGUCCAGACUUCUACGGGAGGCAGCAGUAGGGAAUCUUCCGCAAUGGGCGAAAGCCUGACGGAGCAACGCCGCGUGAGUGAUGAAGGUCUUCGGAUCGUAAAACUCUGUUAUUAGGGAAGAACAUAUGUGUAAGUAACUGUGCACAUCUUGACGGUACCUAAUCAGAAAGCCACGGCUAACUACGUG
This 497-nucleotide ribosomal RNA is filed under the name uncultured bacterium. RNAcentral's name for it is "partial 16S ribosomal RNA". It matches the Rfam family "Bacterial small subunit ribosomal RNA", at positions 28 to 507 of the family's 1533-position model. The record is from RNAcentral.